UAUAAACUCCGCCUCCAUCAAUCACGGCCUAGGACCAACCAGUAACUUCUCCCACCACGGGAGGGUGAGUCAGGGCGGUGAAAAAUAAAAAAGUUUGACCUAGAUCAGGAAUAACUUGAAAACUGAGCCUAAUCAAGAAAUAGAGAGUGGGGGUGAUUGAAUCUAAUGAGACAAAAUGAGCUCCGAUCCAAACACACAGCAACUCCAAGAAGGCAAGUGAAGUCCACCGAGUGUUGAGUCUGAGUCUGAGUCUGGAGUGUCUGGUAAUUGGAAUGGGGAUUAGCAGAGAGAAGAGAAGCCCUUCAUCUACUACAUCCCCUUGUGCCCAUCUCAGAGCCGCCUACCACAAUUGCUUUAACAGGUGGUAUUCAGAGAAGUUUGUCAAGGGUCAUUGGGAUAAACAGGAGUGUGUUUCUGAGUGGCAAAAUUACAGAAAUUGUCUCUUACAACAUUUGCAGGAUAAGCAUCUGAGUCGCUUCUUAGAAGCUGAAGAAGGUGUUGUUGAUUUGACUGAUCAAGCUGAUUCUAAGAACCCUGCUGCUGGUGUCUCUAAUUGAUACAUGUUGCGUCUGCCUCAAUCAGAGAGGAUUAGAACUCUAUGCUAUACUAUUCGAUACCCAGCCUCAAAUCGAUUCAAAAUGCCGUAAUCAAUUUGAAAGAAAGAAGAAAUCUUGCGGUAUCUCUUCUCUUCCCUUCGGUUUGUCUAGUCUCGUCUUUGGACCAGGCUUCCACACCUUCAUCGUGCGUAGUUGCGGGGAGCAAUCAAGAAUAUCAUUCAUUUGCUGGUUUCACUUUUCUGGAUAAUUGACAAAUCACGGUUGCUGCUGACAGCAUAAAAUCUUUGUUUGAACAUUUGGGUCUGGCUUUCACACCUUCAUCAUGCGUAUGUGGGGAGUAAUCAAGAAUAUCAUUCAUUUGCCGAAGUGGAAGAAACUAUAAAUACGAUUACUGAAUUAUCAUGGGCAUAAUAUGCUUUAUGCCUUUCUGAGUUGCAAAUCCAUCCCUCUAAGAUUAGCUCCGCUCAUUCUCAAAAUGGAAAUAUGCCAAAACUAUAAGUUGGUAUGCUACAAUGUCAAAAUGUCUAAUUUUGGCAAUGUUUCUUUACUGAUAAUUGUUUAUUUAUGUCUAUUGGAUCUCUCACAACCAGACUAGUGGAUCCAAACCCUCCCUUAGGUGAGCUGAGUUGGCAUAAAUGACAUUGCCAAACGUUAUGCCAAAUUUGGUGCAAUGUCACUUUCUGGCAAAGCUCUUUUAGCAUUCCACUAGAGGUUUUUUGAGUGAAGCUACUAUAUUUUGAGUGUAACGCUA
Camellia sinensis is the source of this 1308-nucleotide RNA transcript. It is a transcript of the gene named protein phosphatase, with no coding region annotated. The record is from RefSeq and is a predicted model, not a curated record. Lineage: Eukaryota; Viridiplantae; Streptophyta; Magnoliopsida; Ericales; Theaceae.